RNAcentral lists this transfer RNA (76 nucleotides) under Felis catus (domestic cat). It matches the Rfam family "tRNA". From Rfam's summary of the family: Transfer RNA (tRNA) molecules are approximately 80 nucleotides in length. Their secondary structure includes four short double-helical elements and three loops (D, anti-codon, and T loops). Further hydrogen bonds mediate the characteristic L-shaped molecular structure. tRNAs have two regions of fundamental functional importance: the anti-codon, which is responsible for specific mRNA codon recognition, and the 3' end, to which the tRNAs corresponding amino acid is attached (by aminoacyl-tRNA synthetases). tRNAs cope with the degeneracy of the genetic code in two manners: having more than one tRNA (with a specific anti-codon) for a particular amino acid; and 'wobble' base-pairing, i.e. permitting non-standard base-pairing at the 3rd anti-codon position. The record is from Rfam by way of RNAcentral. Lineage: Eukaryota; Metazoa; Chordata; Mammalia; Carnivora; Felidae. RNAcentral also lists the same sequence under 5 other names.
GCCUGGCUGGCUCAGUUGGUGGUGGAGCGUGUGACUCUUCAUCUCACGGUUGUGGGUUUGAGUCCCACGUUGGGUG